AGCGAACGCUGGCGGCAGGCCUAACACAUGCAAGUCGAACGAACUCUUCGGAGUUAGUGGCGGACGGGUGAGUAACACGUGGGAACGUGCCUUUAGGUUCGGAAUAACUCAGGGAAACUUGUGCUAAUACCGAAUGUGCCCUUCGGGGGAAAGAUUUAUCGCCUUUAGAGCGGCCCGCGUCUGAUUAGCUAGUUGGUGAGGUAAAGGCUCACCAAGGCGACGAUCAGUAGCUGGUCUGAGAGGAUGAUCAGCCACAUUGGGACUGAGACACGGCCCAAACUCCUACGGGAGGCAGCAGUGGGGAAUCUUGCGCAAUGGGCGAAAGCCUGACGCAGCCAUGCCGCGUGAAUGAUGAAGGUCUUAGGAUUGUAAAAUUCUUCACCGGGGA
RNAcentral lists this ribosomal RNA (388 nucleotides) under Brevundimonas vesicularis. RNAcentral's name for it is "bacterial SSU rRNA". It matches the Rfam family "Bacterial small subunit ribosomal RNA", at positions 29 to 444 of the family's 1533-position model. Lineage: Bacteria; Pseudomonadati; Pseudomonadota; Alphaproteobacteria; Caulobacterales; Caulobacteraceae. The record is from RNAcentral.